Long non-coding RNA from Chelonia mydas (Green sea turtle), 4038 nucleotides. RefSeq lists it as uncharacterized. The transcript has 3 exons. Lineage: Eukaryota; Metazoa; Chordata; Testudines; Cheloniidae. The record is from RefSeq and is a predicted model, not a curated record.
CUUUCCUGUUAGUGACAUUGAAGAAACUGAGCACCUACAUGUAAGAAGUCAUAUAUUAAAGAGAGGAUGUGAGGAGGCAUAAUGUAGAUAUUAAGGUGAGAUGAGCAGAAGAACAGAAGGAAAAGUGCUGAGCUUUCUAGAAAGUACAGAUGGAUUGGUACCACAGUGAACAGUUAAGGUUCUUGUACCAUGCUCAUCACCAUAGUGUCUGAGCGCCUUCCAGUAGAACACUAAGUGACAUGAUUCACACCUGUCAUGCUCUGUUUGUUAUCGCAUCCUCACCCCAGGAGAAGGAAUAUCUAAGUCAUAGAAAAAUCAAAGCGAUGCGAGCCACUGGUUUGGAUCAUCUGCACACAAUUCAAAAAGAAAAAGGUGACUUUUUAAAAUUUCCCACCAGCAAGUGGGAGAGGUGUAGGCAAGUGUGAAUUUAUGCACAAAAUGCUAAAUCCAAGCACAAUAAAAGACCUCUUAUCGUCAUAUAAAGACUUCCAUGUGCAAUAAUUACUGAUCAGACCAUCCACAUGCUACAUUACUUAAUGACAUCCAAAGAUUGCUGCACUUUCUGAACCAAUAGCAGCUAUACAGUGACCAGCAUCGUUCCUGAAUGGAAAAAUUGGCCCAACCACUGGUGAAUGGCACGCAGUAGGUUUCCCAUUGAACUACGCAGCACAACAAUGAUCCACAUUGGUAAAUCAUUCUGUGUGCUUUUCAAUUCUUUUGCAUAUCAGCUUCCAUUCAUUCUGGCACCCAAGGCAAACAAAUGUAAGAGAUGAAAGUGAAAAUGCAUAUGUUAAAUCCAAAUGGAAGCAGAUGAGUGUGAUAUAUACCUAGAGUUGCUUAGCAACAAACAUAUUUUGGCCACAGGAAUUGUGACAUAAGUCAGAGACGGGAAAGAGACGCUAUUCUGCACUACUUGUCUGUCUCCCUAGAAGCUUCAUAAGGCUCCUUCUUUAGUUAUUUUAAGGCAGAAAAUAAAAGACUAUUGUGGACAUUUGUUUAUGCUAUUAAUACAACAGACUCUAUGACAAUAAUCUUUUCCUUGAGUGGAAAAAUGUUUUCAUUCAAGAUAUCUAUUGUAAAGAUGUAUGCCUCCAUCUAUCCACACUCAUCAUGAACACCUCCUACAUGGUUCAACUUAACAUUCUUGAUCUCUAGAGUUCAUUGGAAAACUUCAAUUUUUUUAAAAUAAAAACAAAGGGCACCUUUUUUUAGCAUAAAAAUCCCAUUUUAGCUCUGGUAGGAGAAACAUUUGUUUUAUUAACAUUUCACAUUCAAAGCACUGUGUGUUUUCAGAAGGCAAAAUAAAAUGUAAAUAGUUAACACUUACGUGGCUGUUAGUUAUGUAUUAUUCUCAUUUUACAGACAGUGAGGCAUAAACACCCUCAUAAAAAUACAACAGUGUUCCACAGCAUUGGCCUCCAGCAUUGCAGUGUCACUCCAGUAAGCAGCAGUGUUUCAAACCCUUAAGGCACUGUGGUGCUAAUAGGGGAGAGUCAGCCAGCAGCAGAGCCAGCAGCAGAGGUGUGAUGAGAAGUCCUAGGGCCCAGUAACGCAAGAGCACGUGUAACUCCUUUUCAAGCAAAUGAGUGUUAUGCAUGUAAAGCUAUCAGAUAAUCAAGUGCCCCUGGCUUCCAGCAACAUCCUCACCCCAUAAGAUCAUGGCACCUUUCACGUAUAGAAAGACAUAACAUUUAUUUUGGGGGCGGGGUGUCAAGCAAACUGUCACAUUAUUGCUACACAAGGCACACUGGAAACAUUUUUCAGUGUUUCCUUUACUUUAAGGUAAUGAAUGAAUUAAUUUUAUUGGGCAGGAAGAGAAAUCUGAUCCUGAGUGAGGGGAACAGAACAUAUGAAGCAUGCACUUUGAGUUCCUUGCAAAAAAAAAGGACUUUCCCACAAGAUUAAGAAAUGGAGAGGAGCAUAAAGUAUGUGUGAGAACUCAAAUGCUCUUAGAUUUAGGAAGUUAAGUGUGUGCAGCUUGAGAAAGCUAAGAGAGUUGAUGGCUACACCAGAAGAACAUAACAUAUGAAUGGCCAUACUGCGUCAGACCAAUGGUCCAUCUAGCCAAGUAUCCUGUCUUCCACAACAGUAGCUAGUGCCAGAAGCUUCAAAAGGAAUGAACAGAACUGAGCAACUUUCAAAUGAUCCAUCUGUCAUCCAGUCCCAGUUUCUGGCAGUCAGAGGUUUAGGGACACCCAGAGCAUGGAUUUGCAUCCCUGACCACCUUGGCUAAUAGCCAUUAAUGGACCUAUCCUCCAUGAAGUAUGCAUGAUUAGAGAAGAAUGUCUAGGAAAUGAAUCAGGAUCUUCUAGGAAUAUUUGCUGGAGCAAAUCCAACAUUCCAAUGUUCUGUUGCUAUACAAGGGUCUUUGGUGGAGAAUUACACAAAAUGUGCCAUGUUGUCCACCUCCAAUUAUCACAUUGGACAUAAAAUAACAGGAAUCUGGAGCACAGGGAAAAUAAAGACUGAAGUGGAAGAAGGAGGAAAUGAGAGAGUCAGUAUUGGAAUGAGUGUAGGCUGAGGAGAAAACCUGUCUUUAUUUCCUAUCUUCACUCCUUUCCGUUUCUCUUCCUUUCCCCAGCUCCCACCCACUGUGCCCUGAUUGAUAGAUACUCAAGGCAGAUGCAGAAGGGUUGCAGGGCUGUGUUAUCUUGUGUGGAUAGCACAGUGGGACAGGGCAGAAGGGUUGCAGUGGGGAAAAUAUAAUCAUUUCAUAAUGGGUUCUAUGUUAUCUCUUCAAGAAUCAGUGAGCAAAAGGGAACUCAUAUUAGUCACAAGUCAGCUGUCCUUUAUCAUCCCCUUUGUUCAAUAGUGUGAUACUUCCAUUCAAAAUGUUAACAAAAAUGUACGUUUUUGGUAAUUUUCUAUAUUUGUGAAGGGAACUAAUAAAAUGGAGCCAUAAAUGUCAUUUACGUUUUGUGUGUGCGUGUAUGCAUGCGUGCCUGCCUGUGUUCAUUUUGGAAUGAAUGGCCCUGGGCCUCAUUUGGCAGUAGAGCUGGCAGUCAUUAAUUGCUCUUGAUUAUGAGCUAUCAUUCUAUUGGGAUUAAUCUACUAAAGAACCAAAUUCAGAUUUGAUGUAACUUUUCAAAAAGUAAUGUAACAGUGCCAUGGAAAGGGAGCAGCAGACCACGGAUUGAGCAAGAUUAAAGGAGAAUUGAGGCAGAGCAUAAAGAUCAUUGUCACAAAGCAGGAUUUUCUUCCAUUUUCAACUGCUUCCAGAUUUCUCCGUUUCCAUGCUACCUAUCAGUAUUGAACUGAGAAAGAAUAGUGGACAAGGGUACAAAGGGAGCAGAGGCUAGGAGCAGCAUAAAAUAUAUUAAUUACUAUGAUUAUUUAUUAUGUUACCAGAAAACAAUUUCCCAGGAAGGGCAUUAUGAGAAUAUGGGUUGGCAUGGCAAAAGGUAUGAAGAUGUCUGUGACAGAGAAGGAGAUUACUGGGGGCAUCGAGGAUGGCUGCAAAGGCAGAAGGAGGAGGAGGAGGGCAGGGGGGAACACCCCAAAGAAGACCAGGCCUGAGAUGUAGGUAAGAGAUUGCAUGAUAUAAGGUCUGAAGGCAAGGAUUAGAAGUUUGAUGUUGAUCACCAUUGCAAUGGAGACGCAAUGAAGUGACGCAAGAGGGAUAGAAAGGUGACAUAGUGGACAUGAUGGAUGAUAAGAUGUUAAUUGUUUGCUUAAACCAACAUCUAGAAAUGCAAGAUCUGCAGCUGAAACUUAUGGCUGGCUUCUGCCAUUAUAAUGGUCAAACUGGGAUCCUAGGUCCGAACAGCGUGAACUGGUGAGCUUGGAAAUUUGACCUUUUGACUCCUAUCUGAUGGCUUGGAAGCCCAUCUCUAGUAACUUUCAGAAAUUCCCUGGCAGUUUUCUUUUCCAGCAAACUUUUGACAGUUUCUUAAACCAAUAACUAUGUAAGCUCAAGAAAUAAUGAACUUGCCUGCAAAAUAGAUGUUAAUAAGGCCUGUCAGAUUGCCAUCAUUUUAAAUGCCAAUAAUCAAAAUUUGUAAUGGUAAUUGCACAAAAUAUUGUACAUGUCACAUUAAU